CUGACCACUGUGGCCACCACCGCCCGCCCCUGCUAGAGGCUUGGAGUGAGGACCACCUUGACUCCCAGCUGACAUCUGAGCGCGAGGUUGGGCGAGCCAGGGACCCUGCCCAGCGUGAUUCAAACCCAGGGGACUGAUUUAGGGAAGCCGCAUCUCAGCCAGGUGCCAGGGUGCCCAGCAGCUUGGGAGGCUGAGGCAGGAGGAUUGCAAGUUGGAGGCUAGCCUCAGCCACUUAGUGAGUCCCUAAGCAACUCAGGGAGACCCUGUCUCUAAAUAAGACACAAAACAGAGCUGGGGACGGGGCUCAGGGGUCGAGGGACCCUGGAUUCAAUCCCUGGUCCCCCCCACAAAAAAAAGAGUCCCUGAGGUUGGGGUCAGUGACCCCAUUUGUCAGAGGAAAUAGAGGCACAGAAUGGUCAGUUCACUUCUCCACCGUCCCACAGCUAACAAGGGGCUGACCCAGAGCUCCACCAGAGCUGGCUGUCCCCUGCCCACCUUAGACUGGGGGCCGCUCUCCAGCCCUCUGCUCACCGUCUCCCGGGGCGCUGCUUUGCUUCCUGGUCCCCUGGCGAGGGGACAAGCUUCCUCUUCCUGGCUGGCUCCGGCUCCGGCCCCUCUGCUGCCCCACACCGUAACCGUCUGUCCCCACGGGGUGGCCGUCUUGCCCAGGUACUCAGCCUGGCUUCCUCCUGCCCUGUCGGUCCCCGGGUCUCUGUCCGUCCCCUCUGGUGGCAGGACUUCAUACCCACACUGGCUGGGACACCAGCAGCUGCCUGUUCCCGUCUCAGCAUCUGGGAAGUGUGGCUGCCUUCCUAGAAGUUUCCUUGCCUCGCCCUCAAACACAGGGGCCUUUGUUCCCUGCAGCGGAACAUCCUGUUCCAGAGUGGCCCGCGGAUCCUUCCAGAAAGAACCCCUUCUGCCGCGCGAGGGUGGAGAUUUAAAACAGGUCGCAGCCACGAGAGGGGUGACCUGGUGUCAUUCAUAAUGGGCGCUGCAGGCCUGAGGCCACAGAGCCAGGAGGUGGGAGGGACAGGAUUCGGGCUCCCAGGCUGCUCUCUGGACCCCUGUGUCCCUGUGUCCCUAUGCAAAGAGGCAUCCUCUGACCCCAUCCUCAUGGUGGGUCUCAUGUACAGAUGGGAAGGUUGCUCACUGCACAACUAAAGGGGAGGGGGGUGCCAUUUCCAUUAUGGUCCCUGAGACGACUUUGUGAUGGCUUUUUUU
RNAcentral lists this long non-coding RNA (1221 nucleotides) under Marmota monax (woodchuck). Lineage: Eukaryota; Metazoa; Chordata; Mammalia; Rodentia; Sciuridae. The record is from RNAcentral.